CUUCGGCUUUUCCGAAGCAUCCCGAACUCAACUUCGAUCAAUUUCGAUCGAAGUUCGGAUUUCGCAUAUCGCGGAUCCACUUCCUUACAUCCUCCCCUCCUUAAAAAGAGUUUCGUCCUCGAAACAAACUCAAAUUUAAACAUAAUUCCCAACAAAACUCAUACCUUACUCCUCAAAAAGAUGAGGGUGAUGCACUUUCAUCAAAUCCUC
This 210-nucleotide long non-coding RNA is filed under the name Ananas comosus (pineapple). RNAcentral's name for it is "long non-coding RNA (ACOM_LNC037317)". Lineage: Eukaryota; Viridiplantae; Streptophyta; Magnoliopsida; Poales; Bromeliaceae. The record is from RNAcentral.